Molecule: long non-coding RNA, 428 nt
Filed under: Salmo salar (Atlantic salmon)
Lineage: Eukaryota; Metazoa; Chordata; Actinopteri; Salmoniformes; Salmonidae
Description: lncRNA (ENSSSAG00000098829.1)
Source: RNAcentral
CGUCCUCAAAACUUCUCGUUGCACAUCGUGCCGAUAAAAUCAAACCUGUUUGAAAAUACCAAGACAUCUGGAACUGCUCAAAGACGAGAUCGGUAGCCUUCAGAUUGCGCAUUUGACCGCUCACAUCUAGCGUGUGUUGGUGACGGCCGCACACCCCAAGUAGGCAACAACAUGGGGAUUUUGUCUCCGAUCUCAAACACUUGUCUGGGACAGCUAAAUUGUGGCCAAAAUCCUGUAGUGUACACCUGUCAGUCUCCCUCAGAGUUAAAAGACCGUUCCCAUCCAGACAGAGGCUGCAUGAGAAAAGCCUCUCUGACAUCACAUCAUCAGGAAAGCACCUCUGGGCUGCUCUGCCCCUCGACAGGAUGACAGCACGCCGCCUGAAUACUGCAUGAUUGGAAACACACACACGUUUCGUUCUUCUAUUC